UAACGUUUUACAUUCGUGUUGGGCAUUUCA
This 30-nucleotide non-coding RNA is filed under the name Rattus norvegicus (Norway rat). The record is from RNAcentral. Lineage: Eukaryota; Metazoa; Chordata; Mammalia; Rodentia; Muridae.